RNAcentral lists this unclassified non-coding RNA (343 nucleotides) under soil metagenome. RNAcentral describes it as "partial contains 5.8S ribosomal RNA, internal transcribed spacer 2, and large subunit ribosomal RNA". The stretch from base 1 to 120 matches the Rfam family "5.8S ribosomal RNA", at positions 35 to 154 of the family's 154-position model. The record is from RNAcentral.
GAUGAAGAACGUAGCGAAAUGCGAUAAGUCAUGUGAAUUGCAGAAUUCAGUGAAUCAUCGAAUCUUUGAACGCACAUUGCGCCCGCCAGCAUUCUGGCGGGCAUGCCUGUUCGAGCGUCAUUUCAACCCUCGAGCCCCCCCGGGGGCCUCGGUGUUGGGGGACGGCACACCAGCCGCCCCCGAAAUGCAGUGGCGACCCCGCCGCAGCCUCCCCUGCGUAGUAGCACACACCUCGCACCGGAGCGCGGAGGCGGUCACGCCGUAAAACGCCCAACUUUCUUAGAGUUGACCUCGGAUCAGGUAGGAAUACCCGCUGAACUUAAGCAUAUCAAUAAGCGGAGGA